RNAcentral lists this ribosomal RNA (253 nucleotides) under uncultured bacterium. Its description in RNAcentral is "partial 16S ribosomal RNA". It matches the Rfam family "Bacterial small subunit ribosomal RNA", at positions 524 to 776 of the family's 1533-position model. The record is from RNAcentral.
UACAGAGGUCUCAAGCGUUGUUCGGAUUCAUUGGGCGUAAAGGGUGCGUAGGCGGCGCGGUAAGUCGAGUGUGAAAUCUUGGAGCUUAACUCCGAAACUGCAUUCGAUACUGCCGUGCUUGAGGACUGGAGAGGAGACUGGAAUUUACGGUGUAGCGGUGAAAUGCGUAGAUAUCGUAAGGAAGACCAGUGGCGAAGGCGGGUCUCUGGACAGUUCCUGACGCUGAGGCACGAAGGUCAGGGGAGCAAACGGG